UGGCUGCUGCAGACUGCUCCCCCCCCUCCCCGGGGCAGGCCCCCACUGCAGCCGCCUUUCCUCGUCACUCACCUGGGCUGACACCCCAGCCCCAGGACAGGACACACCUACAUUCCACUGAGCCACCUGAUAACAGAAGGGGUGCUGGGCGAGAGGAGACAGGAAGUGCUCAGCGCAGGGGGAGUCGGGCGUGGGUCUUGAAAGGUACAGGAAGGGGCCGAGGAGCGGAGCCGACCAGGAAGGUCUGCUGGCUUCCUGUGCAGCAUGUAACUGUGGACGUCAGCGUGGAGGAGGCCAGAGCGUGGAGCCUGGGCCCCAGCUGGGUGGGGAGCCCCGAGGCCGUUGAGCAAGGGGGGGUGACAUGGCCAAUGUGAGUCUUAGAAAGAUCACCCCACAGACCCGGAGAGCGCACGCUGUAUGGGGCUGCACCCGAGUCCAUCUUUCAGGGCAGAUUUCCGCAAGCGAGUAACGACUCUUGACCAUCUACGGCCGCGGAUGGAGCCCUGCCAGCUUGACGCUCUACUGGCCCAGGGCCUCCCUCUGGCCCUCCCCCUGCCUCUUCUGUCACCGGAACCUGACGCCCCUCCCGGGAGACCUUGCGGGACCCCCAGAACGUGCCAGGGACUCCUGAGCCCCGAGGGGGCGUCGGCCGGCCUCAGGACCCUCGCAAGAUCGCACCCACAGGUCCCAGACCAACCCCCGCUCCCACUCGGUCCUCUGUCCUCCAACCUCCUAAACCCCAGUCUGCUGGAGGCAAUCCCUCCUCACCUGCCCCCGCCGUGCCCUCUUUCUGCUCCCCCACCCCCCUCCGUCCUGGCUGGCUGCCAAGAGACAUCUGACAGGAUCCUCCCCUGCUUUAAAGCCUGCAGCAGCUCCCCAGGGCCCACAGAUCCCACUCCAGCUCCGGGGGCGCCCCUGCCCCACCCGCCCCACCCCACCUCUGCUCAGCUAUCUGCAGAUCCCCCUCCAGCGUCCCCCUCCCCGUCCCCUGCUGGAACUCAAGCACGGCCUCUUCUGCAAAGCCUGUCCUGCGGCUGCGCCUCCUCUGUAUCCCUGGCAGGCUCCCCCUCCAGCCCCACACCUCCUCCCUGCCCUGGGACAGGAGGUUGCAGCUGCCCCUGGCUCGGGCUGCGUCUGAAUCACUGGGAAGCCCUCUGGCCUCCCCAGGGCCUGCAGCAUCACCGCACCCCGUGCCUGAGCCCAGGUCAGAGAAGAGCCCUCACCAAGGGUCCACAGAAUGCAACCCUUGGCCAGGGCCUGGGCCCUAGCUGGGGCACAGCAUCCCAGAGAGGUUUAACGACUGGCUGA
RNAcentral lists this long non-coding RNA (1308 nucleotides) under Canis lupus familiaris (dog). RNAcentral's name for it is "lncRNA (ENSCAFG00040003352.1)". The record is from RNAcentral. Lineage: Eukaryota; Metazoa; Chordata; Mammalia; Carnivora; Canidae.